Molecule: ribosomal RNA, 460 nt
Filed under: uncultured bacterium
Lineage: Bacteria
Description: partial 16S ribosomal RNA
Rfam family: Bacterial small subunit ribosomal RNA
Source: RNAcentral
CCUACGGGUGGCAGCAGUGAGGAAUAUUGGUCAAUGGGCGCAAGCCUGAACCAGCCAAGCCGCGUGAAGGAUGACUGCCCUACGGGUUGUAAACUCCUUUUAUAAAGGAAUAAAGUGAGGCACGUGUGCCUUUUUGUAUGUACUUUACGAAUAAGGAUCGGCUAACUCCGUGCCAGCCGCCGCGGUAAUACGGAGGAUCCGAGCGUUAUCCGGAUUUAUUGGGUUUAAAGGGAGCGUAGGUGGGUUGUUAAGUCAGAUGUGAAAGGUUGCGGCUCAACCGUGCAAUUGCAAUUGAUACUGGCAGCCUUGAGUACAGUUGAGGUAGGCGGAAUUCGUGGUGUAGCGGUGAAAUGCUUAGAGAUCACGAAGAACACCGAUUGCGAAGGCAGCUUACUAAUCUGCCACUGACGUUGAUGCUCGAAAGCGUGGGGAUCAAACAGGAUUAGAUACCCUUGUAGUC